UACUGCUUUUGUCAGGUGGAGUGGGA
This 26-nucleotide non-coding RNA is filed under the name Homo sapiens (human). The record is from RNAcentral. Lineage: Eukaryota; Metazoa; Chordata; Mammalia; Primates; Hominidae.